CCUACGGGGGGCUGCAGUGGGGAAUAUUGGACAAUGGGGGGAACCCUGAUCCAGCCAUGCCGCGUGUGUGAAGAAGGCCCUCGGGUUGUAAAGCACUUUCAGUGAGGAAGAACGCCUGGUGGUUAAUACCCAUCAGGAAAGACAUCACUCACAGAAGAAGCACCGGCUAACUCCGUGCCAGCAGCCGCGGUAAUACGGAGGGUGCGAGCGUUAAUCGGAAUUACUGGGCGUAAAGCGCGCGUAGGUGGCUUGAUAAGCCGGUUGUGAAAGCCCCGGGCUCAACCUGGGAACGGCAUCCGGAACUGUCAAGCUAGAGUGCAGGAGAGGAAGGUAGAAUUCCCGGUGUAGCGAUGAAAUGCGUAGAGAUCGGGAGGAAUACCAGUGGCGAAGGCGGCCUUCUGGACUGACACUGACACUGAGGUGCGAAAGCGUGGGUAGCAAACAGGAUUAGAUACCCUAGUAGUC
This 465-nucleotide ribosomal RNA is filed under the name Vreelandella stevensii. RNAcentral's name for it is "partial 16S ribosomal RNA". It matches the Rfam family "Bacterial small subunit ribosomal RNA", at positions 338 to 795 of the family's 1533-position model. Lineage: Bacteria; Pseudomonadati; Pseudomonadota; Gammaproteobacteria; Oceanospirillales; Halomonadaceae. The record is from RNAcentral.